CUGCAUCUGCCAACAAGACUGGAAGCAGAAAGGGACAGAGACGGCGAAGUUUGACGGUCUGGAAAGCAGAGACCAGCAGGGCUGACUGCUUGGGAGCACCAAAUAUCCGGACAGCGCCUCUCGGGAGGUCCGAGAAGAGAACCGCGAUCUGUUUCAGCACCGGGGCUCAGGACAGUUCCCAGCGGGCUCCGUUUCGUCUCCAGAACCCUGGACAGCUCCUCCAGCUUGGAAUGCACUCCCUCCACCUCCAACCAGAGCUCCCCACAACUGACCCUGCCUUCUUCUGCAAGCUCCAUUUCAUCAAGGGAAACGAUCCUUAUUGCCUCACCAUUUCCCACGUGAAGUCUGUAUUGACAUUCUCAUAGACCUGGGAUAUUGUGUCUGCAGCACAUAGUCCAAUUAUUUUCAUGUUAUCUACUGACAGGUCUAUUUGUCUCCCUGUUACACUGUGAGCUCCGUGAGGGCAGAAACAAUGUUAGUAUUUUCACUGCUGUGUCCCCAGCGCCUGGUCCGGGGCCCGGCACACAGCAGGCAUAUAAUAAGCAUGUGUUGAAUCAAUA
This 560-nucleotide long non-coding RNA is filed under the name Homo sapiens (human). RNAcentral describes it as "non-protein coding MIR7-3HG:6". The record is from RNAcentral. Lineage: Eukaryota; Metazoa; Chordata; Mammalia; Primates; Hominidae.